RNAcentral lists this ribosomal RNA (67 nucleotides) under Streptococcus equinus. RNAcentral describes it as "partial 16S rRNA. Bacterial SSU". It matches the Rfam family "Bacterial small subunit ribosomal RNA", at positions 1 to 66 of the family's 1533-position model. The record is from RNAcentral. Lineage: Bacteria; Bacillati; Bacillota; Bacilli; Lactobacillales; Streptococcaceae. RNAcentral also lists the same sequence under 1 other name.
AUUAAAUGAGAGUUUGAUCCUGGCUCAGGACGAACGCUGGCGGCGUGCCUAAUACAUGCAAGUAGAA